Molecule: ribosomal RNA, 459 nt
Filed under: uncultured Turicibacter sp.
Lineage: Bacteria; Bacillati; Bacillota; Erysipelotrichia; Erysipelotrichales; Turicibacteraceae
Description: bacterial SSU rRNA
Rfam family: Bacterial small subunit ribosomal RNA
Source: RNAcentral
ACGGAAGGCAGCAGUAGGGAAUCUUCGGCAAUGGGCGAAAGCCUGACCGAGCAACGCCGCGUGAAUGAUGAAGGCCUUCGGGUUGUAAAAUUCUGUUAUAAGGGAAGAACGACUUUAGUAGGAAAUGGCUAGAGUGUGACGGUACCUUAUGAGAAAGCCACGGCUAACUACGUGCCAGCAGCCGCGGUAAUACGUAGGUGGCGAGCGUUAUCCGGAAUUAUUGGGCGUAAAGAGCGCGCAGGUGGUUGAUUAAGUCUGAUGUGAAAGCCCACGGCUUAACCGUGGAGGGUCAUUGGAAACUGGUCAACUUGAGUGCAGAAGAGGGAAGUGGAAUUCCAUGUGUAGCGGUGAAAUGCGUAGAGAUAUGGAGGAACACCAGUGGCGAAGGCGGCUUCCUGGUCUGUAACUGACACUGAGGCGCGAAAGCGUGGGGAGCAAACAGGAUUAGAUACCCUGGUA